CGUAGGGGGCUAGCGUUGUCCGGAUUUAUUGGGCGUAAAGCGCGUGUAGGCGGCCAGGUAGGUCUGGUGUGAAAACUCGAGGCUCAACCUCGAGAGGUCAUUGGAAACCAUUUGGCUAGAGUCCGGAAGAGGAGAGUGGAAUUCCCGGUGUAGCGGUGAAAUGCGCAGAUAUCGGGAAGAACACCUAUGGCGAAGGCAGCUCUCUGGGACGGUACUGACGCUGAGACGCGAAAGCGUGGGGAGCGAACAGGAUUAGAUACCCUGGUAGUCCACGCCGUAAACGAUGGGUGCUAGGUGUGGGUGGUGUCGACUCCAUCCGUGCCGAAGCUAACGCAUUAAGCACCCCGCCUGGGGAGUACGGCCGCAAGGCUA
Molecule: ribosomal RNA, 372 nt
Filed under: uncultured organism
Description: bacterial SSU rRNA
Rfam family: Bacterial small subunit ribosomal RNA
Source: RNAcentral